Long non-coding RNA from Strigops habroptila (Kakapo), 902 nucleotides. RefSeq lists it as uncharacterized. NCBI's taxonomy places the organism in Eukaryota, Metazoa, Chordata, Aves, Psittaciformes, Psittacidae. The transcript has 6 exons. The record is from RefSeq and is a predicted model, not a curated record.
GUGCUCUACACCUCUUCAUGCUUUCAAGCAAAGGUGAACAGAUCCAUCUGUUCCUUUUUCCUUCAUAAUUCAGGUCUGAAGCUGAUGGAGCGAGCAAGAAAGUGAGCACAGAGGGUGAGACAUGAACUUCGCGUUGAUGACAUCUAGAAGAGCCACAGCAGCUUUAAGAUAAGAGAGAAGAUGCCCCUGAACUUUGAAGUCUGGUGAAAGACAUGCGCUAGGCAGCACAUGAUACAGAGAGUCAUGUAUGUCAUCUGUUUUGGACUCUGGGACAAGAUAGCCAGGCUGUAGUCUAGAAGAGAUUAAGACCCUGAAGGAAGGUGAAGGAGUUUGUUGACCUUUUCAAUCUGCUUCCGAGAGGGUGCCCAGUCAGGAAGGACACUGCUUUGCUGGUACUCCAAACCCCACAGAGAAGGUACAAUGGAAGAGCAGGCAAGAAAACAGAAGUAAUGCUACAUGACUUGUCAUUUUAUGAAUUGGCUGAGUACCUUUUUAAGUUCCAGUGGACCAUUAAGUAGUGUGAGUCUUGUUCAAGUGGUUUUUCAGUAAAUGCAACCUGUAUGCAACCCAAGCAAGAUUUUGUAGGCAAGGUGCUGACUUGGUCACACACCAGGAAUCAGCGUGUGCUGGUAGCCAUGGGAGCACAAAUAACAAGACAGCAAAAACAGCAGCUGGCUGGGAAGCGUUGGAGGAGACUACACUGGCAUGAUGUACCAGAGCCUCCUGGGGAAGCUGGACCCCAGGAGGAGGCAUAAGGCAUGCAAGAAAUGAAGAACUCCAAGGGUGGAAGAGCUUGAUCUUAGCAGAAAGGAGAAGCUGAUAAAGCAGUGUGGACAGUGUGGAGCAAAGCAAUGUUUUUCAAGAAGUUCAGACAGAGGCAUGAUAUAUAUGAGAACAGUAAA